This 696-nucleotide ribosomal RNA is filed under the name Triticum aestivum (bread wheat). RNAcentral describes it as "partial small subunit ribosomal RNA". Lineage: Eukaryota; Viridiplantae; Streptophyta; Magnoliopsida; Poales; Poaceae. The record is from RNAcentral.
AUGAGACAUUUCAAGGCCAACAUGACUGCUGACACGCUUCUCCAGUUCACAAACCUAUGGCACGACCUUCAAGCAGUGCACCUCAAUCCGGAUCAGCAGGACUCAAUCUCAUGGAGAUGGACGGCCAAUGGUGUUUACAACGUAGCCUCUGCGAACAGAAUUCUCUUUGUUGCAACCAUCAAGCAGGACUUUGCCAAAAUGGCCUGGAACUCUGAGGCCCGGCCGAAGUGCCAGUUCUUCGUUUGGUUGGAAAUUCAAGGACGUUGCCUUACGGCUGAUAACCUUGCCAAGCAUGGGUGGCCACAUAACUCAACCUGUUUGCUAUGCCAACAAACUCCAGAGACGAUGAUGCACAUAUUGGCGACCUGCCCAUUUGCGCAAGGUUUGUGGCUUCGAGUGCUUGACUUGUUGAUGAUGCUGAGCGACAUGGCACCGCUGCCCAUGGAUGUUACCCUCCUGGGCUGGAUGACACACACUUCAGGUAGGCUCACGAAGGACGCCAAAAAAACUUGGAGAUCGAUCAGUGCGCUCAUUUGGUGGUCACUAUCGAAGGAACGAAACGUCCGUGUCUUCAGCCAACAAGCCUCUACGAUCGGUCAGGUUCUUUCCAACAUACAGGAGGAUGCAAAGAUAUGGAUCGAUGCUGGGAGACGUCGGGUGAUAGCACUGAUUGAAAGGCCAAGGGAGCCUGAUUGA